RNAcentral lists this long non-coding RNA (1599 nucleotides) under Mus musculus (house mouse). Its description in RNAcentral is "predicted gene, 30788". The record is from RNAcentral. Lineage: Eukaryota; Metazoa; Chordata; Mammalia; Rodentia; Muridae.
AGAUGCUGUGCUCACCCCAGAGACGGAUGGAUCACACCGUUGAAAUUUUCUCCAUGUGUGUGACUCAUUUGUGUGCAUCUAUGUACAGGCCAGUUAACGCUGCCUGUCUAUGCACGGAUGCUGAGAUUCGGGAGCAUCCACUGGAGCACAGGAAACCUACAAGUGGUCACAUCCUUAACAAAGAGUGAUUCUCCCUCUUCCAGCAAAUAUCCACUACGAAUAGCUCCUCACUAUGGAGUGAGGCUUGGGGAUCAUCGACCCAUCUAUACCAGGAUUUUGGCUAGCCUUGCCUUGUGUACAUCUUGUGCAGGUAUUCUCCAAUUGCUGCUAACUGGUGCCAUAGAGAAAAAGUCACACUCCGCACCUUGUGAGAGAAGCUACUCCAGGUGAGAAGCCACUCUUGAGGCUCCAGGUGAGAAGCCACUCUUCCGGGUCUGUGUUAGGAACCAUUCUUCAGGUUCCACGUUUGAAAAGCCAGCUCUUCCGGUUCUGUGUCAAGAGUCACCUCUUCAGGUUCUACGUUCAAAGCCACUCUUCAGGGACUGUGUGAGAAGCCACGCUUCAGGCUCCACUCUUCCCUCAGGCUCCUGCCAGCACGGGCUGAACAGCUAUGCCACAGUUCUUCACGAAAAUGAACCGAGAUCUAAACCAGGAUUCCCUCCUUUAAGUUGUUUCUGAUUCUCCAUCCCUGUUUCUAUCCUGGGAAUAAACGUUAAGAGAUGCCCAGGUAACAAGGAAAGCCAACAUUCUGAAGGCUUCGCACGUUCUGAAAUUCCUUGCUAUGUUAACAAGAAUCAGCAUGAGAUGGCUUGACCCAGAGGGUGCAUGCCUGCAACCUCAGCACUGCAGUUACUAAGGAAGGCAGUUCUCGUGCCCAAGGCCAACCUGCACUUCAGAGCAAGAGCUUGCUUCAAAAGAACAGGGCUGGGCUGUGGAAGACGGCUUGGCAUUUGCUGUACCAACUGGUGACUCAUGUCUGAGAACCAGAUCCCACUUGGGUGGAGGAGAGAACUGACCAACUCCCAAAGUUGUUCUCUGACCGCCACAUGUAUGUCAUAGCAUGUGUACUGACUGGUUUUGCGUGUCAACUUGACACAGGCUGGAGUUGUCACAGAGAAAGGAGCUUCAGUUGGGGAAGUGUUUCCAUGAGAUCCAGCUGUGGGGUAUUUUCUCAAUUAGUGAUGGGGGGGGGGCAUUGUGGGUGGUGCCAUCCCUGGGCUGGAAGUCUUGUGUUCUAUAAAAAAAGCAAGCUGAGCAAGUUAGGGGAAGCAAACCAGAAAGAAACAUCCCUCCAUGGCCUCUGCAUCAGCUCCUGUAUCCUGACCUCUUUUGGUGAUGAACAGCAAUUUGGAAGUAUAAGCUAAGUAAACCCUUUCCUCCCCAACUUGCUUCUAGGUCAUGAUGUUUGUACAGGAAUAGAAACUCUGACUAAGACAGCAUUUGUAUGCCCAGACUCACACACCUACUCCCACAAACACGCUGCUGCUGCUACUACUACUACUACUACUACUUUACUACUAUUACAAAUAGUAAAUAUUAUGUGUUUAGUAUCACUAAGUAACUAAUAAAUUGAAAGCAUUAAAAAAAACAGCAAAAACA